RNAcentral lists this transfer RNA (69 nucleotides) under Ictidomys tridecemlineatus (thirteen-lined ground squirrel). RNAcentral describes it as "Spermophilus tridecemlineatus (thirteen-lined ground squirrel) tRNA". It matches the Rfam family "tRNA". From Rfam's summary of the family: Transfer RNA (tRNA) molecules are approximately 80 nucleotides in length. Their secondary structure includes four short double-helical elements and three loops (D, anti-codon, and T loops). Further hydrogen bonds mediate the characteristic L-shaped molecular structure. tRNAs have two regions of fundamental functional importance: the anti-codon, which is responsible for specific mRNA codon recognition, and the 3' end, to which the tRNAs corresponding amino acid is attached (by aminoacyl-tRNA synthetases). tRNAs cope with the degeneracy of the genetic code in two manners: having more than one tRNA (with a specific anti-codon) for a particular amino acid; and 'wobble' base-pairing, i.e. permitting non-standard base-pairing at the 3rd anti-codon position. The record is from Rfam by way of RNAcentral. Lineage: Eukaryota; Metazoa; Chordata; Mammalia; Rodentia; Sciuridae.
GGAGUUGUGGCUCAGUGGUAGAGCACUCGCCUGGCAUGUGUGAGGCCCUGGGUUUGAUCCUUAGCACCA